GCAUAUCAAUAAGCGGAGGAAAAGAAACCAACAGGGAUUGCCUCAGUAGCGGCGAGUGAAGCGGCAAAAGCUCAAAUUUGAAAUCUGGCGUCUUUGGCGUCCGAGUUGUAAUUUGAAGAAGGUAUCUUUGGGCCCGGCUCUUGUCUAUGUUCCUUGGAACAGGACGUCACAGAGGGUGAGAAUCCCGUGCGAUGAGAUGACCCGGGUCUGUGUAAAGUUCCUUCGACGAGUCGAGUUGUUUGGGAAUGCAGCUCUAAGUGGGUGGUAAAUUCCAUCUAAAGCUAAAUAUUGGCGAGAGACCGAUAGCGAACAAGUACAGUGAUGGAAAGAUGAAAAGAACUUUGAAAAGAGAGUGAAAAAGUACGUGAAAUUGUUGAAAGGGAAGGGCUUGAGAUCAGACUUGGUAUUUUGCAUGCUGCUCUCUCGGGGGCGGCCGCUGCGGUUUACCGGGCCAGCAUCGGUUUGGAGCGGCAGGAUAAUGGCGGAGGAAUGUGGCACGGCUUCUGCUGUGUGUUAUAGCCUCUGACGAUACUGCCAGCCUAGACCGAGGACUGCGGUUUUUACCUAGGAUGUUGGCAUAAUGAUCUUAAGUCGCCCGUCUUGAACACGGACC
This 613-nucleotide ribosomal RNA is filed under the name Candida albicans. RNAcentral describes it as "eukaryotic LSU rRNA". It matches the Rfam family "Eukaryotic large subunit ribosomal RNA", at positions 38 to 667 of the family's 3401-position model. The record is from RNAcentral. Lineage: Eukaryota; Fungi; Ascomycota; Pichiomycetes; Serinales; Debaryomycetaceae.